Molecule: ribosomal RNA, 560 nt
Filed under: uncultured bacterium
Lineage: Bacteria
Description: bacterial SSU rRNA
Rfam family: Bacterial small subunit ribosomal RNA
Source: RNAcentral
CCACGGGAGGCAGCAGUGGGGAAUAUUGGACAAUGGGCGAAAGCCUGAUCCAGCAAUGCCGCGUGAGUGAUGAAGGCCUUCGGGUCGUAAAGCUCUUUUACCAGGGAUGAUAAUGACAGUACCUGGAGAAUAAGCUCCGGCUAACUCCGUGCCAGCAGCCGCGGUAAUACGGAGGGAGCUAGCGUUGUUCGGAAUUACUGGGCGUAAAGAGUACGUAGGCGGUUAUUCAAGUCAGAGGUGAAAGCCCGGGGCUCAACCCCGGAACUGCCUUUGAAACUAGAUAACUAGAGUCUUGGAGAGGUUAGUGGAAUUCCGAGUGUAGAGGUGAAAUUCGUAGAUAUUCGGAAGAACACCAGUGGCGAAGGCGACUAACUGGACAAGUACUGACGCUGAGGUACGAAAGCGUGGGGAGCAAACAGGAUUAGAUACCCUGGUAGUCCACGCCGUAAACGAUGAUAACUAGUUGUUCGGUCACUUGGUGACUGAGUGACGCAGCUAACGCAUUAAGUUAUCCGCCUGGGGAGUACGGUCGCAAGAUUAAAACUCAAAGGAAUUGACGG